RNAcentral lists this ribosomal RNA (1317 nucleotides) under metagenome. RNAcentral describes it as "bacterial LSU rRNA". It matches the Rfam family "Bacterial large subunit ribosomal RNA", at positions 1628 to 2925 of the family's 2925-position model. The record is from RNAcentral.
GAGCUUCGAGCGGCCCGUACCCCAAACCGACACAGGUGGUCAGGUAGAGAAUACCGAGGCGAUCGGGCGAACUAUGGUUAAGGAACUCGGCAAAUUACCCCCGUAACUUCGGGAGAAGGGGGGCCACAGACUGUCAAACUCCAUGCGGGAGGCAGCGGUAGGUGGCCGCAGAGACCAGGGGGAAGCGACUGUUUACUAAAAACACAGGUCCGUGCGAAGUCGUAAGACGAUGUAUACGGACUGACGCCUGCCCGGUGCUGGAACGUUAAGGGGACCGGUUAGUCCGCAAGGGCGAGGCUGAGAACUUAAGCGCCAGUAAACGGCGGUGGUAACUAUAACCAUCCUAAGGUAGCGAAAUUCCUUGUCGGGUAAGUUCCGACCUGCACGAAUGGCGUAACGACUUCCCUACUGUCUCAACCAUAGGCCCGGCGAAAUUGCACUACGAGUAAAGAUGCUCGUUACGCGCGGAAGGACGGAAAGACCCCGGGACCUUCACUAUAGCUUGACAUUGGUACUCGAAUUGAAUUGUGUAGGAUAGGUGGGAGACUUUGAAGCUCGGACGCCAGUUCGGGUGGAGUCAAACUUGAAAUACCACUCUGUUGAAUUUGGGUAUCUAACUUCGGACCGUGAUCCGGUUCAGGGACAGUGUCUGGUGGGUAGUUUAACUGGGGCGGUUGCCUCCUAAAAUGUAACGGAGGCGCCCAAAGGUUCCCUCAGCCUGGUUGGCAAUCAGGUGUUGAGUGCAAGUGCACAAGGGAGCUUGACUGUGAGACUGACAGGUCGAGCAGGGACAAAAGUCGGGACUAGUGAUCCGGCACCUGCGAGUGGAAGCGGUGUCGCUCAACGGAUAAAAGGUACCCCGGGGAUAACAGGCUGAUCUUCCCCAAGAGUCCAUAUCGACGGGAUGGUUUGGCACCUCGAUGUCGGCUCGUCGCAUCCUGGGGCUGGAGUAGGUCCCAAGGGUUGGGCUGUUCGCCCAUUAAAGCCGCACGCGAGCUGGGUUUAGAACGUCGUGAGACAGUUCGGUCCCUAUCCUCCGCGCGCGCAGGAGACUUGAGAAGGGCUGUCCCUAGUACGAGAGGACCGGGACGGACGAACCUCUGGUGUGCCAGUUGUCAUGCCAAUGGCACGGCUGGUUAGCUACGUUCGGAAGGGAUAACCGCUGAAAGCAUCUAAGCGGGAAGCCUGCUUCAAGAUGAGGUCUCCCACCCCUUGAGGGUUAAGGCCCCCAGCUAGACCACUGGGUUGAUAGGCCAGAAGUGUAAGCCUGGUAACAGGUUCAGCCGACUGGUACUAAUAGGCCGAGGACUUAAAAAA